This is a long non-coding RNA of Pogoniulus pusillus (Red-fronted tinkerbird), 1321 nucleotides long. RefSeq lists it as uncharacterized. The transcript is spliced from 2 exons. The record is from RefSeq and is a predicted model, not a curated record. NCBI's taxonomy places the organism in Eukaryota, Metazoa, Chordata, Aves, Piciformes, Lybiidae.
CAGCUGGGCGAAGGGAUCCUCUUCCCACCACCACAGCUGCAAUUCUUCAGAUGCUCUGGGUUGGUUGGAAAAGGUACUGCUUUGUUCCCAGCUGGAUAAAGGUAUGAAGCUAUUACACAGGUCACACUCCAGAAAUACUUCCAAGUUUCCAAUCUAAACCUCCUCUAGCACAACUUGAAGCCACUUCCUCUUGUCUUACCACUUGUUACUUGAGUGAAGAGACAGGCCCCAGCCAGCUCCAACCUCCUUCUGGGAAGUUCUGUAGAGCCAGAAGGUUGCCUCUCGGCCUUCUUCUCACUAGGAUAGACAGCCCCAGCUCCCUCAGCUUCUCCUUGCAAGACUUAUGCUCUAGGCAACACUAAAGCUGCCAGAGGAUGUUACUGACACCAAGGGCUGACCCUUUGGGCCACUGCUCAAUAGCCUUGAAUGAAGAACAGGAACCAUGCACCACUGCUCCCCAGGAGCAGGCUGAGCUCUUGCUGUUCUUGCUCUGCUGUUUGACACCACCACUGAGACACAGAAGGCAAGAGGUGACAAUGUGACUGGGGCAAACUGCAAAACAGAUACCCCCAGCUUGAACCUCUGGAUGAAAGUCAAACUGUAUGACAGAAGCUACUAUUCUACCUCUGACUGCCUUCCUGCACUUGAAAAGGUGGGCACUGGCCUUCCAACAGCUCCUCUGUGCCCAAGGAGCUCACAGCAAGGGCUAUGUGGGCUCUGGCCACAGAGCAAGAGAGAAAAAUCCACAGUGCAAUAGUGACUUUGACCCUUCAUCCAGAAGCUCUUGGUCUAAACAUUGCUACCUCUAUUGCAGUUAGUGCCAUUAGCCAAAUAUCUAUUCUGAGAGCCCCUAAGAGCCUGCUCUGAUCAGAGUUGAUGGCCUUGUUUCAGCUCACAACAGCCUGGAUAUUGCUGACCUCUCUUAGGAACACUGCUCCUUUGAUGGACUGCUUUAGAGAAGUCCUGAACUUCACUGUCUUCAUCAAAAGCCAUUUCCAAGCCUACUGGUUGCUAGAAGAGUACUACACUGCCCUUUGCCUAUUCCCUUCUCAGAGCUUUGAGCUGCAAUAUUGCUUCAGAGCAUAAGAAUUAUAACCUAGUUGUUUUCCCAGAAGUACUUAUGGGAUUGUUCACAGGGCAAAUGUAAUCCCUGGCUAGCUGCAGUAUGGAAAAGGUCAGUGCUCCUGCACGGCAACAGAACCCUUUCCCAGUGGCCUAAGCACCUCACAUACUUCAGUCCUUAAGGUAUGGAAGUCCAUAGUCAAUGUUUAACAUUUAGCACCUAAAAAUGUGGACCCAAAUGUCACACCUUCUGUUACAG